UCCUCGUUAAAGCGAGGCAGUCUGUCCAGAGUGCUCCGAACUCUCGUUCGAGUGGCAACAGGACAUAGGGGUUGCGCUCGUUGCGGGACUUAACCCAGCAUCUCACGACACGAGCUGACGACAGCCAUGCAGCACCUGUGCAAGCUCCCCUUGCGGGGUCGUCCCACUUUCAUGGUUCUACCACUUGCAUGUCAAGGCUAGGUAAGGUUCUUCGCGUUGCAUCGAAUUAAACCACAUGCUCCACCGCUUGUGUGAGCCCCCGUCAAUUCCUUUGAGUUUUACCCUUGCGAGCGUACUCCCCAGGCGGGGCACUUAACACAUUUGCUACGGCAGGGAGUAACAUAGGCUUACCCUCUACCUAGUGCCCAUCGUUUACGGCCAGGACUAC
This 388-nucleotide unclassified non-coding RNA is filed under the name uncultured bacterium. RNAcentral describes it as "contains 16S-23S intergenic spacer region". The record is from RNAcentral.